Long non-coding RNA from Herpailurus yagouaroundi (jaguarundi), 1470 nucleotides. RefSeq lists it as uncharacterized. NCBI's taxonomy places the organism in Eukaryota, Metazoa, Chordata, Mammalia, Carnivora, Felidae. The transcript has 2 exons. The record is from RefSeq and is a predicted model, not a curated record.
GAUUUUGUAAAUAUUUGUGCAUUUAUAAUAGAGAUGCAGGGAAUGUUUUUCUAAAACUAGCCAGUUACCCGAAAUAAUUUUUCAUUUGUUUACUUAUUCUCUCAUUCAUUUAUUCAGCAUCUUUUGAAGAUGCAUGAUGUUUCGAACAGUACUUGAUGUGUAUAAUACAUAGGUUAAUAAGAAUUUCUACCAUGGUAAAUGAUGUUAUCUCUCUGAAUAAGAAUGUUGACAGAAUAAACUUAAAUUUGAUUAUAUAGAAAAGGCUAAUAUGGAAUUAGAACUCGUACCAAAUUCUCUCCCAUUAUUUCUCCUUUACAUUGUUUCCUGGCUUAUUAGAAUCACAUGGGACGUUUCUACAACUGCAGAAUCUGGCGGAGUGGUGCCAGGGAAUCUACACUGAAAAAGAUUUUGGUUUUACUCAGUUGAUCUUGCAAGUUUGAGAACCACUGUUCUAAAUCAAGAAGAAUAAUCAAAUUUUCAUAGAGCCCUUACUGUUCUUAGUACUACAGAGUAAUAUCUCACAUUUGAUUAAUUCUUUAUACUUAAAAACUUUCCCAUUUGCUAUUUAAUUAUAAUCUUACAGGAACUUUGUUUAGGUAUAUGACAAAGGGUUCUCAAUUAUGAGAAGUAACUGAGACCCAGAGAAAUUCUAUAAGAUUCCAUAGCAGUUUAGAUGCUGUUCUUUUGAUCACCAGGUCCAUUCAUUGUUGUUCUUAGUAUACCAGAAUGCAUCUUAACUGUUGCUAUGAACUGGAAGACUGUGUUAACUGUUUCUCAUUCUCAUGUUUUUCUCUGCAGUUAGGUGUUUAUGUUCUGUUCUUUCACUGAAGCUGUCCUCAGGGCAGGGGGGAAUGAGAGCAUGAGAGCAUGACUACACAUCUGCAGUAUCUGAUGUGUAAUUCAAAGAGAACUCCCCACCACCAUGCCCCUGUCCAAAAGAGAUGAAAUUUAUUUGUAGUCUGUAUUUAAUUUUUAAAAUAUUCUAUCCUGUGGAAUAUCUAUAUGUGCUUUGAUGUAUAAAUACUGUCUUAAAUUAUUUACUGUUGAGUAGGAGAUGUCUAGGAAGUAAAAUUUGAAUUAUCCUGGGGCUUUUGACUUUGGCAUGUUGUUUGUAUGCAUUGUUUUUCAGUAGGAAUGAGAACUCAGAAGUAAACCUGACUAGUUUCCAAAUGCCAGUUUGGAAGAUAACGAAGAUUCUGGUUGGGAAUUGAAAAAUUCUAAUAGUUUAGAAACAAAUGAAUAUCAGUUUCACUAUUUCUCCACCUCCAUCCCAAACUUGAUCCUUCAGGUUUAAAGGCUAGGGUUAUUCAUGGGUCACAUAUGGUCAUUUCCCUACCCGUUGAGUUCAGGUAUAGACAAGGAUAACCCUGACUCUGUAUACAUGUUCGUUUUCUUAGAAAAGUGGAGUGUGGCCCCAUAAGUUAUAGUGACUAUAGCUGAAAUAAAGCUAAAUACAUGUUAAAAGUCCAA